UCUUGCACAACAAAAAUCCAACUUCAGAUAAAAAUUCAUUUCUCAACCAAAAUCACCCAAUAACCCAUUUUUGUAAUUCAAUUUCAUCAACUCAAUCUGGGCACAAUUGGAGCACAACCAUGGCUAUAAAUAGCCAUGUUUAUCCCCUCAAACCAUUCACUCAAACCACUUGAGUCUUCGCCGGAAAACACCACCCAAAACACCCCUCAAAUCCCCUGUUUUUUUUUCAAUUCUCUCUCUCCUCUGUUUUCGUGCGACCACCGUAGCACCACCACCCUACGCCGACGACCACCUUGCGCCGACCACCUUGCGCCAACCACCACCGCCGUCGCCUACCCAGGCCGCACUUCUUCGUCGCCCGCAUCCCCUCUCCCUCGUCCUCAUCUCUCUCGCUCAGCUCCUCUCUCCUCUCGCCCAAUUCGUUUUCUCUCUACUCUUCCUGGUCUGCUGUUCGCACCGUCCCAACACCACCGGAGCAUCGUCGCGAGCCGCCCACACGCGAUUUUCUGCCUCGUCGCGCCUUCGGUCGCCGGAGCUCGACUCACUUCGUUGCAGCAUCUCUCUGGUUUGAAGCAGUGGUAUGCAUAUGAAGAUGGGAUGACGUAGCUGUGAAGAUUAAAUUACGUUAAUUCAUGCGACUAUGACGGUUAUGAAAUCCAAGUUUAUGAUCACUAGAUUACGUAGCAUCAGCUAUGCUUAAGCUAUCUAUAUAUAUUUCCAGAAUUACUACCACUAUUAAGUUUAGUGAUGUGAAAGAAUGUUG
This is a long non-coding RNA of Beta vulgaris subsp. vulgaris (sugar beet), 763 nucleotides long. RefSeq lists it as uncharacterized. NCBI's taxonomy places the organism in Eukaryota, Viridiplantae, Streptophyta, Magnoliopsida, Caryophyllales, Amaranthaceae. The record is from RefSeq and is a predicted model, not a curated record. The transcript has 2 exons.